RNAcentral lists this unclassified non-coding RNA (2167 nucleotides) under Neodiprion lecontei (redheaded pine sawfly). Its description in RNAcentral is "uncharacterized LOC107224489, transcript variant X1". The record is from RNAcentral. Lineage: Eukaryota; Metazoa; Arthropoda; Insecta; Hymenoptera; Diprionidae.
CAUAGUUAGUACGAUAUGCCAAUGAAGACUGGCAGCACUUCGAAAAUGACUCUACCGUUAAAGUGGCUAUGCCUCGUCACAGUUCUGGGAGUUUUGUGCCCCACCGAAGCUGUGCUCGAUCAAACAUCCAGGUUCAUCGAGCAAGGCUACACCAUGUGCAUGGGCAACACCGUCGCUUACAAGGUUCACAACGAACCGCGGACCUGGCACGAAGCUGUGCAAGUUUGCAGAGGCGAAGGAGCUCGCCUGGCGAUAAUCGACAGCUACGAGAAGGUUCGAGUCAUCGGCGGAAUGAAGCCGUUCAACGCCUACGUCUGGGUCGGAGUGUCGCGAUCGGAUCCGCAGCAUCCUUGGAUAACGGCGGACGAAGGCGCCUCGAUGAACAACGUUCCUUGGGCACCGACGAAACCUUCGGGCCCGUUCAACUGCCUCACCGUCCGAGGGUGCAACCGGGGAUUGAGCAACGAGGACUGCAGCCAGCGAAAGGGAUUCGUCUGCGAAAAGUCGCCGGUGAAUCCAAGCAUCAGAUACGACUGAUUGAAGUUGCGACGAGCUGGAUGAAGUAAUUGGAACCGAAUGGAGGGCAACGUUGAGCUGUAUUUCCUGAUAAGACAGUGGCACUGUAUCGGUGGUAUCAGUAGUUAGUCAGUUUGCACAUCAAUGCGUGAAUUUCCAAUGGCCGAAAAAUGCGGGAUCUCAAGAUAUAUGGUAUACUAUCUCACAAACGGAACCAAAUGUCAGAAUAAACAACAAACUUGUACCGGCCGAAGGGAUACGCGGUAGUUGGCUCGUUUAUUUAGAACUCUGUUUCAAGCAUACGUGCAUUGGAUACUUGUUUAUAUCUCCUGAAACGAAAAUAAAACAAUUUAAUUCUGCCGACGAGAUCUUCAUCGUUCAUAAUUCAUAUUCUCCGUAUAACCAUAAAAUCCUUACAUGUUCAUUGUUAUAUGCGAAAGGAACAUCCGGGUAGAACGAAAUAUUUCCCAGAAAGCGACCAUCCGAUAUGAAAUUAAUUUACCGGCUGAUCAGGCAUUCAAAUCCACUGAGCGCAAUCAACUUUUGCCUGCUUCGUAAUUUUAUUUUUCUUGUGUCAAUAAUGAUUAUAUACGGUUGCAAAAUACGAAACGUUAUCGUCUUUCAAGACCGAAGAUUAUGUAUCCAUGCAAUAUUGAAAGCAGAAUAUCUUUAGAGGAGGCCGUUAAAACGGAUUAGAUAAAAUGUAACAUUGAAAUUAACGACGCGAAUGCAUAUUUAUACAAAGCUUUGAUUAAUGUCGUAUCUUCAGCAAAAUUUCGCGGAAUUAUGGAGAAAGGAGGGAGUUUGAGGGUUUGUAUCACGGGUAUAAAUAAAGUCCGUAGAAGCUACACGCCGCAAUUGAUACGUUUAGUUUUGACGAAGACUGACAUCAGUGUGAAAAUGAUCGGACAGUUCCAGUCGCUGUUUCUGCAGCUUGCGUGCGUCUUGACAGUUUUUGGAGUUUUGAGCUCAGCGAGAACGCACCUCCAGGUCAUAGUCAAUCAUGCGCCGAGAUCCUACACCCCGUACAGAGACAAUACAGUUUCUUACAAGGUUUUCACCGAGGAGAGAAAUUGGGAGGAAGCUGAGCAAAAGUGCAUCGAGGACGGAGCUCGUCUGGCUAUAAUCGACACCUAUGACAAAGUUCGCUUCGUAGGCGACAUAAAACCGUUCGACUGCUACUUGUGGGUCGGCAUAAGAAGAUCAGGCCCUUCGGACGCGUGGACCAAGGCGCACAACGGUGCGCCGGUACCCAACGUUCCGUGGGCACCAACGCAACCCAACGGCAUUCAAAACUGCAGCACGAUCCAAGGGUGCAACCUAGGAUUGGGCGACGAAGACUGCGCGGCUCGACUGGGUUUCGUAUGCGAAAAGCCGAUAAGCGGACAAGAGGAAACGUUCUCUCUCUCUCCAUCGAUGUCGCUGAAACAAGUGUGUCAGUUAAUCGCGUCUCCGUCAAUCCCAAAAAAAAAAGCAAUCGCAUCUCUUCCGGACGGCUACGCCCCGAUUCUCAACUCAAGCGUGGCUUACAAGCUCUACAAGAAGUUAGUAACCUGGGUGGAGGCGAAAGGACUGUGCGAGAGAGAGGGUGCUAGUUUGGCAGUGGCCGAUAACCGAAAAAUCUACGAGUACCUGACCAAGAACACUCCUU